RNAcentral lists this ribosomal RNA (253 nucleotides) under uncultured bacterium. RNAcentral's name for it is "partial 16S ribosomal RNA". It matches the Rfam family "Bacterial small subunit ribosomal RNA", at positions 524 to 776 of the family's 1533-position model. The record is from RNAcentral.
UACGUAGGGUCCGAGCGUUGUCCGGAAUUACUGGGCGUAAAGCGUGCGCAGGCGGUUCGUUGUGUCGGCGGUGAAAGCCCCGGGCUUAACCUGGGAAUGGCCGUCGAAACUGGCGAACUGGAGUGUGGCAGAGGGGGGUGGAAUUCCGCGUGUAGCAGUGAAAUGCGUAGAGAUGCGGAGGAACACCGAUGGCGAAGGCAGCCCCCUGGGCUGACACUGACGCUCAGGCACGAAAGCGUGGGGAGCAAACAGG